AGUGAUUCAGUGAUGAAGAGAGUACUGAUUUAGUUUGUUCAAAGCGAAUUGGGAUGGUGUAAGCCAAUAACAAAAAAAUCAGGAACCGCACUUUUGAGAAAAUAAUUCGAAACUAGUAAAAUUAUUCGGUUUUGUUUGCCGUUAUCUAAAAACAAGUGGUUUUGUCGCUUAGAUAAAACAACAAGAGUGGUACCGCGGGCUCAACCUCGUCUCUUUU
This 217-nucleotide non-coding RNA is filed under the name Carnobacterium iners. Its description in RNAcentral is "T-box sequence". It matches the Rfam family "T-box leader". From Rfam's summary of the family: Uncharged tRNA acts as the effector for transcription antitermination of genes in the T-box leader family. T-boxes are found upstream of many aminoacyl-tRNA synthetase genes and some amino acid biosynthetic genes usually in Gram-positive bacteria. The anticodon of a specific tRNA base pairs to a specifier sequence within the T-box motif, and the NCCA acceptor tail of the tRNA base pairs to a conserved bulge in the T-box antiterminator hairpin. The record is from RNAcentral. Lineage: Bacteria; Bacillati; Bacillota; Bacilli; Lactobacillales; Carnobacteriaceae.